GUCACUUGCCCCGCGCAUUCCCCCACCCCGCCCCCAUGCCGCCUCAAGUCCUCCUAGCCCUGACACACAGCUGGGACUAUCACGUCCAACCGGAGGUCCUGGACUAGCUCCCACAGCACGAGAAAUCUUUCGUGGCGAAGCAGCAGCCCCUGAGCUGCCUCCUCUGCAUAGGAAUCGCCCUAUCUGUGAUGUCACCGACAGCGCCUUUCCCGUCCCCGUCUGCUCUUCCGCCCCACCCUCUGCCACUCGGCCGACCAACCAGCUGCGGGAGCGGGCGGAGAAAGUGACACCUGACUCUACCUCCUUUCCCUCCCAUCCCCAUCCCUGGUCUCUCCCAAAGAAGUGGCCACAGAGUGCAUGUGCUAUGAGGGACCCGUCCGACAUAUACCCUCCCAGAAGAGCAGGAAAGGGGGUUCAUAAAGAUGUUCUUCUGAUGGGGAGUGUCCUAUAAGGCCACCUUCACAUGGGAGGAUCGCAGCGCAUUUCGGCCAAGACAGGUGAGACUGCGGUUCUGACCUGCGGGCCUCGAUGAAUUGCGUUAGGACACCUGGGCUCCGGGAGAGCCGUUCCACUCCGCAAAGUAAGCGUGUUAUGUCUACAACCCAACGGGGACGCGCUAAGAGCCCCAAAGGCCCUGCUUUCAUCCCAAAGAACAGCCCCCGCCUGCGUAGUUUGUACCCGGCUCUAUGAGGUGAGAACACAUUCCCCGAUAGCACAGAAAUCCUACAAACUCCUGAGGGGGCUGCGGCUAGAAGCAGACGCUGUGUGAAAUGUGACUGGAGGUUAGGGAAAAACACGUAGAUUUUCACAGACCCUGAGAACCCAAGAGACUGCAGACCAUGGACAGACAAAUCUCUGCAAAAAGCAGCCCCGCGUAGAUAAAGGAAGAGCUGUGCGGCCUUCGCGCUAGCUAGCUUGUGUAAAGGUCGACGCUUCUUAUUUCUCCCGAGGCGGGGAGAAAGCGACAUAUUACUACUAUUCCUCAACCUCCGACUGUGAGAGAAACGAUUAAGAGUAAAGCACAAGCCAGUAAAAAAAACAAGUAACCCUCGCCGUGCAGACUGUUCUUUAAACUACAAAAAUCAGG
RNAcentral lists this long non-coding RNA (1087 nucleotides) under Homo sapiens (human). Its description in RNAcentral is "HSALNT0295380". The record is from RNAcentral. Lineage: Eukaryota; Metazoa; Chordata; Mammalia; Primates; Hominidae.